RNAcentral lists this ribosomal RNA (634 nucleotides) under uncultured bacterium. RNAcentral's name for it is "bacterial SSU rRNA". It matches the Rfam family "Bacterial small subunit ribosomal RNA", at positions 8 to 674 of the family's 1533-position model. The record is from RNAcentral.
AGAGUUUGAUCAUGGUUCAGAAUCAACGCUGGCGGCGUGCCUAACACAUGCAAGUCGAACGAGAAAGUGGAGCAAUCCAUGAGUAAAGUGGCGACCGGGUGAGUAACACGUGACUAACCUACCUCCGAGUGGGGAAUAACUCCGGGAAACCGGGGCUAAUACCGCAUAACAUCGCAAGAUCAAAGCAGCAAUGCGCUUGGAGAGGGGGUCGCGGCUGAUUAGCUAGUUGGCGGGGUAAUGGCCCACCAAGGCGAAGAUCGGUAUCCGGCCUGAGAGGGCGCACGGACACACUGGAACUGAAACACGGUCCAGACUCCUACGGGAGGCAGCAGUGGGGAAUUUUGCGCAAUGGGGGAAACCCUGACGCAGCAACGCCGCGUGGAGGAUGAAGCCCCUUGGGGCGUAAACUCCUUUCGACUCGGAAGAUGAUGACGGUACGAGUGGAAGAAGCACCGGCUAACUCUGUGCCAGCAGCCGCGGUAAUACAGAGGGUGCGAGCGUUGUUCGGAAUUAUUGGGCGUAAAGGGCGCGUAGGCGGUGCCACAAGUCACCUGUGAAAUCUCCGGGCUUAACUCGGAGCCUGCAGGCGAAACUGUGGUGCUGGAGUAUGGGAGAGGUGCGUGGAAUUCCCGGU